Molecule: ribosomal RNA, 468 nt
Filed under: uncultured bacterium
Lineage: Bacteria
Description: partial 16S ribosomal RNA
Rfam family: Bacterial small subunit ribosomal RNA
Source: RNAcentral
GACGAACGCUGGCGGCGUGCUUAACACAUGCAAGUCGAACGGGAAGUCCCUGCUGUUGUGGGGGGCUCGAGGAGCGAACGUGUAAGUAACGCGUGAGUAGCCUGCCCUGGACUUUGUGAUAACUUCAGGGAACUGGGGCUAAUACCGGAUAGGAGCUCCUGCUGCAGGGUAGGGGUUGGAAAGGUUCGGCGGUUGGGGAUGGAGUCGCGUCUGAUCAGCUUGUUGGUGGGGUAGUGGCUGACCCAGUCUUGGACGGGUAGCAGGCCUGAGCGGGUGACAUGCCCCAUUGGGACUGGGCUGAGGCCCAGCCCCAUCCGGGAGGCAGCAGUGGGGAAUAUUGCACAACGGGCGGAAGGCUGCUGCAGCAACGCCGCGUGGGGGAUGACGGCCAUCGGGUUGGUAUCCGAUUCCGCAUGAGAAGAAGCGUGAGUGACGGUAAUGGGUAAAGAAGCACCGGCUAACUACGUG